GACGAACGCUGGCGGCAUGCCUAACACAUGCAAGUCUAGGGGUAGCAAUACCACUGGCGCACGGGUGAGUAACACGUAGGUUAUCUGCCCCCAUCACAGACAUAACCCCGGGAAACCGGGGCUAAUAUCUGAUGAGGUCGCGAGAUCAAAGCUUCGGCGGAUGGGGAUGAGCCUGCGGCUGAUUAGCUAGUUGGUGAGGUAAUGGCUCACCAAGGCGACGAUCAGUAGCUGGUCUGAGAGGACGAACAGCCACACUGGAACUGAGACACGGUCCAGACUCCUACGGGAGGCAGCAGUGAGGAAUAGUGGUCAAUGGGAGCAAUCCUGAACCAGCAAUGCCGCGUGUGGGAUGACAGGGCUUCGCCUUGUAAACCACUGUCGGACGGGACGAAAGGAGGCCUCGGGGCCUCUGGGACGGUACCGUCAAAGGAAGGGUCGGCUAACUACGUGCCAGCAGCCGCGGUAAU
This 467-nucleotide ribosomal RNA is filed under the name uncultured bacterium. Its description in RNAcentral is "bacterial SSU rRNA". It matches the Rfam family "Bacterial small subunit ribosomal RNA", at positions 28 to 524 of the family's 1533-position model. The record is from RNAcentral.